RNAcentral lists this non-coding RNA (161 nucleotides) under human gut metagenome. The record is from RNAcentral.
CCUUCAACGAUUAAAAGGGAAUCGGGUGAGAAUCCCGAACAGUCCCGCUGCUGUGAGUUUCAUCAGAGCUGCAAGACAACCGAGCCACUGUUUUCUUGGUAAAAAGAAAAUGGGAAGGCGUCAUGCAGAGAAACAAGUCAGAAGACCUGCCAUGUGUGAUA